Molecule: ribosomal RNA, 443 nt
Filed under: uncultured bacterium
Lineage: Bacteria
Description: partial 16S ribosomal RNA
Rfam family: Bacterial small subunit ribosomal RNA
Source: RNAcentral
CCUACGGGAGGCAGCAGUGGGGAAUAUUGGGCAAUGGGCGCAAGCCUGACCCAGCAACGCCGCGUGAAGGAAGAAGGCUUUCGGGUUGUAAACUUCUUUUCUCAGGGACGAAGCAAGUGACGGUACCUGAGGAAUAAGCCACGGCUAACUACGUGCCAGCAGCCGCGGUAAUACGUAGGUGGCAAGCGGUAUCCGGAUUUACUGGGUGUAAAGGGGGUGGAGGCGGGAAAGCAAGUCAGAUGUGAAAACCAUGGGCUCAACCUGUGGACUGCAUUUGAAACUGUUUUUCUUGAGUACUGGAGAGGCAGACGGAAUUCCUAGUGUAGCGGUGAAAUGCGUAGAUAUUAGGAGGAACACCAGUGGCGAAGGCGGUCUGCUGGACAGCAACUGACGCUGAGGCGCGAAAGCGUGGGGAGCAAACAGGAUUAGAUACCCUGGUAGUC